UAAAUAUUGAUUAUGUAUUUAACGUUCUCGAAUUCCCAAGAGCUAAGAAAAUAUAUAUAUUAAUGUAGAAUAAUUAUUUUUAAUAUUUUCUUUGUAAUUAUAUGUUAGUCGAGUGGGAUGAUAUCUGGUUUUUUAAGAAAUUAAUUUAAUUGGGCUUGGUUGGUAAAUUUCGUUUUUUUAGAAGUGAUUUUUUGUUUCAAAGUAAUAGCCUUAGGGAUAAGCUUUGGGCUAGAUUUUUAUAACAUCUUAAAUUUUAAGUAUGAAAUAGGAUUAGAAGUGUUCAAUUUAGGAGUGUGUAAUUACAGGUUACUUGAAAAUCUGAUUUUUUAUUGUUUAGGUUUUUUAUUAAAAUAAUAAGUUUAUUUUUAGAUCUUAUGAAAUAAUGAUAAAAUUAGUAUAUUUAAUUGUUUUUAAAAUUUAGGAUUUUUAGGUUAGGUUAAGGAACUCGGCAAAAUUGAAUUUUCUGCCUGUUUAAUAAAAACAUGGCCUUUUGAUUAUAAUUUGAGGUCUGACCUGCCCAAUGAUUUUUUGAAUGGCCGCGGUAUUUUGACCGUGCAAAGGUAGCAUAAUCAUUAGUUUUUUAAUUGAAAGCUGGAAUGAAUGGUUGGACAAGAAAAUUUCUGUCUCUAUCUAAUUUUUAGAAUUUUAUUUUUUAGUUAAAAAGCUUAAAUUUUUUUAAGGGACGAGAAGACCCUAUAGAAUUUUACAAAUUUGCUAAUUUUUAAUUUUUAGUUUUAUUAAUAGAAAUUAAGUUGAAUUUGUUUAGUUGGGGUGAUUGGAAAAUUUGGCGAACUUUUCUUGAAUUUGAAUCAUUGAUACAUGAAUAAUUGAUCCAUUAGUUAUGAUUAUAAGAUUAAAUUACCUUAGGGAUAACAGCGUUAUUAAUUUGGAGAGUUCUAAUCGAUAAAUUAGUUUGCGACCUCGAUGUUGGAUUAAAAUUUACUGUUGGUGUAGCAGCUGAUUGGUUAAGUCUGUUCGACUUUUAAAAUUUU
This 992-nucleotide ribosomal RNA is filed under the name Colophon montisatris. Its description in RNAcentral is "partial 16S ribosomal RNA". The stretch from base 405 to 992 matches the Rfam family "Archaeal large subunit ribosomal RNA", at positions 1423 to 2666 of the family's 2987-position model. The record is from RNAcentral. Lineage: Eukaryota; Metazoa; Arthropoda; Insecta; Coleoptera; Lucanidae.